Struthio camelus australis is the source of this 743-nucleotide long non-coding RNA. RefSeq lists it as uncharacterized. Lineage: Eukaryota; Metazoa; Chordata; Aves; Struthioniformes; Struthionidae. The record is from RefSeq and is a predicted model, not a curated record.
UAAAAUAAUGGGGAUUAUUUUACUAAAUAACUCAGUCCUGUGAGAGGCUGCAAAACCAUUCUGAUUAAACGGAAAGUAACCCUUGCUCCUCACACCGGGAAUUGCAGGCUCCAUGAAGAGAUUCCAUUUUGGAAAACCAGGAAGAGCUGGAAAUUGAUGACAAUUCUACAUUUUGAACAGUUGGAGCACAAGAUUCACAUUCACUCAAUUUCCUGCUGGCAGCAACUCAAAGCUGCACUGCAAAGAAAAAGGUAAUUAGGUAGCCUGCCCGCUCUGACCGUCUCUGGCCUCCCUCAAACCCAGACAGCUGCUGCAAGCUUUCCAUCCUCUUCAGCAGAAACACACUGUGACUCAAUUCUCUCCCUCACCUACCUUAUUGCCUUUGAACCAAGUGGGGAAAACUGAGGUACAAUUGUUCCCAAUUUGCUAAAGGACACCUAACAAAUCUCUGUCAGAGAUAGCAAUGGAACCCACUUGUGUGUCUCCACCAGAAGACUCUGAAAGACUGAGGCUUGCUCAUGUCUGAGGGGCACAAGCUGUACUGGGCCAUGCCAGGGCCGGACAUUGUGCUUUGAGGGAUACAAAGCUUCUGGGCUCUUUUGACCUUAUGGGACCGUACAGCUAUCUGACAUUACACCCAAGGGUCGAGUACCAUUUCUUCUCCCAUGAUGUAUGCAGCUUUAUUCCCCACCUCAUGGGGAGUCAUGGGUGACUUGAAAUUUUAGCUUUGUUCAACCUUUACA